ACCUGAAAGCAGUGCUGAGUGAAGCAAUGAUGUGUCUUAAACAGUAAUAUUUCAUGGCAAAUCAUCUGCUCUGAAACGGAGACGAGAAGGUGGCAUUUUUCACCUAACUGCAUCUCUUCUCUAUUUUUCUUACCUUUCUUUUUUGGAAACCUGGUUCAAAUCCAACCUAGGACUUGGUGGUUGUGCUGAGCUGGUUUGGGAAGGGGAUUUUAGCCUCGGUAGAACAAGCUGGAGGAGAGGAGGAGAAAAUCUGUAAGACUUGGGAAGAGGACAGGAGAGGAGUCCCCGAGUUAUCAGGCUGGGAGAGAGCUCAGGGCUGCAGGGCCCAGGGCAGCGGCUCAUUCCACGCUGAGCAACUUCGGGCAAGUCCAGGAAGCAUUUUCAGGAGCACUCCAAGUCCUGUCCAUAAAGACAGAGGUGUUUUUCCAUGCUUAAAGAGCAGGUGGGCACAAACAGCUUUGUUUUUCGAAGGCCGUGAUGCUUUUUUUUCACUCCCAGCUGGGCGUGCCAAGUUUUCCCAGUUUUUGGGCAGCUGGUUGUAUUUUCAAAAGCACCUGCAUACGGUGAAUUUUUUCUGAUGGGAAGCCGAUGUAUUCUGUAAUAUACCAGAAACCUCAGGACCCAUCUGUUUAAUAAGCCUCUGUGUGGGACAAAAAUUGCUGCAGGGCUGUAUGUAAGCAUCAGAUGUGGCCAUUCAGUCUAUGGCGGGAGGCAGAAGAACUUUGGAAGUUAAAGGUUUUUUUCAAGUUUGAUGGCAUUAAAUGUCACUAAUUUCUAUGGAGGUAGAGUGUUCUUAUUUAUCAACUUAAAACAUAAAGGGAAGAGCCAGCUGCUUCUGAACUGUGCAGCGGCAGAAGAGUUUCAGGGGAACAAAUGAAGUCCAUCUAUCUGUUAGGGUGAAAGUACCACUGUCUUGCUUCACUGCCUCAUAAUAUGGAAAUUAUGUUUCUUUUUUAGGACAGAUGAGUCAUUUGACCACUCAGACAACUAUACGGACACAUCUCCGUCCAUUUAUAUUAUCUUUCUCUUUCUCAUGUGUGCAUGUUUCUUCCUUAUUACCAGCCACUGCUUUCUCCAAAAACAAUAAUCACUGGUUAUUCUCAUUUAUUUGAUAAGGCCAAACAAUUUCAGUGCCCAGAAAGUAAUUAUGAAUUUGGCAGUUCUGAUUAAUAAAUCUUUCAUGAAGCAUGCUCCAUUUUGUCCAUAAACAGCAUCUUCCAGAGAUUCAUUGAGAAAAUAUGGAGAAAUAGAAUAGACAGAAAGAGAAAGCAAGGCAAAGAGAAAAAAUGCAUUCUUCCAGGCAGUAAUGUCCUGCUCUCAGUCUUACAUGUGUAAGGUGAUUUUAACUGUUGGAUUAAUUCCUUUAGCACUCAGUCUGUACACACCAUUUCAUUUUAAUGGAUACUGUUUGCAUUUUACUCUUCCUGGCUUCACAGUGCCUCUUACUAAGUUAGCUCCACUCUCACUAUCAAAACCUUCUGAAUUAUUUUUAGGAGCUAAUUUCUGUCCUCAGACUUGCUGAAGCAUAGCAUUGUACAGCUUGAAGGCCUUGUCUUGUGUUACAGCUGAGCUAGACUUGCAUCAAGCACAUGCUAAACUUGCCAAGCACUAGCUGCUUUCUGUUGUCUGGGAAGAGGUAUCCGGUGUGUUGUGAGAAAGCAUCAAGCGUCCCAGCUAGCUGCCAGGAUGCCAGCCUCCUGUUGUCUUCUGCUGCUUCUGCCAGCCCCAUGCAGAUGUUUUGGAUGCUCUAGGGUCUCUCGGGAGGUGCUGUUAAUUUUCCUUUUAGCCAGCUGAAUUGGUCCCUUCAGGUCCUGCAAAGAAAUCUCUGUGGUAUGGACUUCAGCCAUAGACCUGAAGUCACUCAUAAGCUCAGGGAAUUAACUCAGCACAUCCCAAAGUGUCCUACUGAAAGACGUGAAAUGGGAUUUUUGCCUAGCAAAAACUGAAUGUGGGGAUACUGAGAAAGCAGGAUCCUGAAACCUGCCUGCUGUUGCAGUAUAUUACAGCGAAUUGAAGGAUUUUGGCUUCUUCCUUUAGGAAAUACAAUUCUCAUUAAAGGCAUGAAAUUAAGCUCCUUGGAGACCCGAGCGUCAGUCUGGAGAACAAUCUGAAUAUGACUUUUUAGCAAGACCAGCUUCUCGCUGUAUAUGCCUGUGUUUCAGCAGCAUGCAGCAGGAACUUGCUUCAGACUGAGCUGGGAGGCUCUGUGCUUGCUCCGUGAUGUUCCCUCCUCACCAGCUCCCUGGGAUGGGAGCACAGAAUUCUCUGGAGAUCAGGGUCGGCUGUCGUCCUUUGGUUCCCUCUCCCCCAGAACAGGCCAGCAAGCCCCAGUUGAACCAUGCAUUUUGGACUUUCCCAAUCUUGCUCAAACAAGAAACAAGCAGCCUAGUUCUCACCACAGUGGUGGGGAAGGAUGCUCCUGCUGUCUUCUUUUGAAGGUCUCCAGCCCCACCUCGGGGCCUGCAGAGCAGACGCUGCCUUGAUAGAGACACUCAGGCACAAGGGCAUCUCUGCAGCAGGGUGGUUCAGCAGCAUCUUCUCCUGAUUGUGUCCUCUCACGUGAGUUCCCUGUGCUGCUUGGAGCCACCAAGAGUGCCUGAGGUGUGGGCUCCACAAGGGCAUGGGCCCUGUCCUCAGGGAGCACCAGCAUCCCGCUGCAAUUCCUCCUUUCCGCACGGCAUCACCUGCCACUGGCAUCUGCCUCUGCAAGAGCUUCCUCUUUUGUCUCCUCAUCUGAGUCGGCAACGCGAGGCAGCCAGGUGUCACGUUCAACAAAUCUCCAUCAAGUGAUUGCUGUGGAAGGAAAUGAAGUUUGAAGAACUCCUUUGCUGCUCCUGACGCUUCGGCUCUGACCUUCUUGCGCUCUCAGCUUAUCUCCAUGGAGAUGCUCAUUUUGCAGCUUGGCUCCAUCUUCUGCCAGCCACUGCCUCACGCAAAGGCAGGGCCUGGGCAGGGGAGUGAGGCUGCUUCCAGGCUUUGAUGCUGGUCCUUUUAACGCAAGGAUGCUUUAAAAUGGACAGCGAGAUCUGCUUCUCCUUCAGGAAACAUGUGCUUUGAGGCAGUCUGAGCUCACGCGGUUCGCUGAGGACCCAAAAGAGGAGAAUUAAAGCUUGAGCUAGAAAUUUCUAUGGCAUAUCUGUACCUUGCUGCUGUGCCUGUCUGCCAAGUGGUGGAAUGGGUCUCAUAUCUUCAGGACAGGUCUAUCCUUUGUUCCUUUGUUGAGAAGUCUCAUCAUGCCCAUGCUCUUGCCAACAGUAGUAGAGUUAGGUAUGUACACUCUGUCCAACAGCCAAAAGAAUAAGGCCAAGCAGAAGGCAGUGCCCGAGGCACAGAGCCCCGCUGCUGCUGGGCGUUCAGACACAGCACUGCCCCCAUUAGUAAAGCUUAUCAUGACAUACGCAUGAAAAUAAUGUUUGGGGCAAGGGAAAGCAGAAAUUUUUCUAAUACUGCUUAGUACUCUGACAGUGCCCGUCAGUCUGAAUUAUUUAGCCCUCAUCGUGACGGCACACGUGUGACUUUUGAUCUUUAAUUUAGGGUAGAGGAUAAUUUAGUUUCUCUGGGCCUCGUCCUUUGUGAUGUGAGGGAAGAACAGCUCCAGCCUGGAGCCUCAGUCGCUGCCUGAUUCUGGGCAAAAAUGACUUGCACUUCCCCAAGAAGUGAGGCGUUAGGAGGACGAUGCUCUGUGUGCUCCGUGAUGGCUCUGGUUGGGAAAUAUUCCUCAAACCAUUUUUCAUCAGGAAAUGCUGAUUCUUGGAAACACGCUUUCUAUGAGAGAAAAAAAAAGAAAGGGGCAAGUUUUCCUCAUUUUAGCAACUCUUAAAUAGUGCGGCAGCUUGAAGAGGAACCCAGUGAAGUCCUGUUUUCUUUUUUUUGACUUGUUUCAGAUUGUAACUUCAUUAUGAUGAAAACCAAAAGGAAGUCAAAAUGAAUGGUAAAAAAACUGAAAGAAAACUUUGAAGACUGACCUAAAAAUAAAGCAUACCAAUAUGACAAGAGAAAGGUUUCCCUAUAUUUGAUCCUCCCGCUUUGGUCCUUUUAUUCCUAGAGGGAGCAAAGGGAUGGCAAGACCCUGCAAGAAGGGUUGAAGGUUCUCAGCCCAGGGUGAGUCCCUGGGGCUGGUUCAUGUGUCUGCAGCCAGCAUCUGUGGUCACCAAUAAACCACAGCUUCUCCUGCUGCUGGAGCUCAGAGGAAGAAGCCAUUUUAGGGCCAAACCCCUUCCCUGGGCUGCCUGGGAGAUGGAGGAAGCAGUGCCUGAGCCUUUCUGAAUUUCUUCUGAAUUUAAAUGCCAACUGAAUCAGGAGCCAGGGCUCUGCCCAGUGCCAGAUCACUCACCAGCCAGAUGGCACCUUCUGAAGCUCUUCCACCUUCAUCCGAGCUUCAAGGGAUGCAGUGAAGGUGUUUGCAGGCAAGUGUCUCUUCCUUUUUCCUUCAGUGCUUUCACAGCCUUGCCUGCAGAUUUACAUGGGUGUAAGUUCAGAGCAGAGUGAUACAGGCUGAGUGUGAUCUGAGCUCCUUUCCUGUUGGUGACAGAAAGCCAGAACAGUGACAUGAGGCUGCCUCCUGCAUGCAGGAACCUCUGUCCUGUUCCCAGCACCACUUACAGUGCUUCUGCCUUGCUUGCACUGGCAUAUGAGGCAUCCCUUAGGGAUCCCUUUAGGGAUUGAUCAAUCCCAUGCA
Molecule: long non-coding RNA, 4678 nt
Organism: Numida meleagris (helmeted guineafowl)
Lineage: Eukaryota; Metazoa; Chordata; Aves; Galliformes; Numididae
Exons: 3
Source: RefSeq, a predicted model, not a curated record